CCCAGAUCCUGCCGCGUGGCGUCAUCCGGGCCGUCCGUCGGCCCGACGGUUCGAUGCACCUGCCUUCAGAUCGAGCCACAUCACCUCCAUCCGCUCCAACUAACCCAUCCCAAUGGCCGCACGCCACGUGGCGUAAAGGCCGCAACGUUUCGUAUCCCCGAAGGGACGGCGGAAACGGCGGUUUCCCUUCCCGAUGGGACGAGACGUCUGACACCGAUAGGGUGUCUGACACCGGCGGGACGUCCGACACCUGCAGGAUGUCCGACGCCGACAUGACACCUGACGUCGAU
RNAcentral lists this long non-coding RNA (290 nucleotides) under Elaeis guineensis (African oil palm). RNAcentral describes it as "long non-coding RNA (EGUI_LNC019521)". Lineage: Eukaryota; Viridiplantae; Streptophyta; Magnoliopsida; Arecales; Arecaceae. The record is from RNAcentral.